CCCUUAGAUGUUCUGGGCCGCACGCGCGCUACACUGAUGCAUUCAACGAGUCUAAAACCUGGUCUGAUAGGGCUGGGUAAUCUUUUGAAUGUGCAUCGUGAUUGGGAUAGAUGAUUGCAAUUCUUCAUCUUCAACGAGGAAUGCCUAGUAAACGCAAGUCAUCAGCUUGCAUUGAUUACGUCCCUGCCCUUUGUACACACCGCCCGUCGCUCCUACCGAUUGGGUGUGCUGGUGAAAUGUUCGGAUCGGCCGUUUGUCGCGGUUUCCGCGGCUCGUGGCUGAGAAGUUCAUUAAACCCUCCCACCUAGAGGAAGGAGAAGUCGUAACA
This 328-nucleotide ribosomal RNA is filed under the name uncultured eukaryote. Its description in RNAcentral is "partial 18S ribosomal RNA". It matches the Rfam family "Eukaryotic small subunit ribosomal RNA", at positions 1470 to 1796 of the family's 1831-position model. The record is from RNAcentral.